CUGGGCUUGACAUGGACUAGAAAUCCUCAGAGAUGAGGGCUCCCUUGUGGCUGGUUCACAGGUGGUGCAUGGCUGUCGUCAGCUCGUGUCGUGAGAUGUUGGGUUAAGUCCCGCAACGAGCGCAACCCUCGUUCCAUGUUGCCAGCGCGUAGUGGCGGGGACUCAUGGGAGACUGCCGGGGUCAACUCGGAGGAAGGUGGGGAUGACGUCAAGUCAUCAUGCCCCUUAUGUCCAGGGCUUCACACAUGCUACAAUGGCCGGUACAAAGGGCUGCUAAGCCGUGAGGUGGAGCGAAUCCCAUAAAGCCGGUCUCAGUUCGGAUCGGGGUCUGCAACUCGACCCCGUGAAGUCGGAGUCGCUAGUAAUCGCAGAUCAGCAACGCUGCGGUGAAUACGUUCCC
RNAcentral lists this ribosomal RNA (400 nucleotides) under uncultured bacterium. RNAcentral describes it as "bacterial SSU rRNA". It matches the Rfam family "Bacterial small subunit ribosomal RNA", at positions 975 to 1375 of the family's 1533-position model. The record is from RNAcentral.